This 1106-nucleotide long non-coding RNA is filed under the name Equus caballus (horse). RNAcentral's name for it is "lncRNA (ENSECAG00000046152.1)". The record is from RNAcentral. Lineage: Eukaryota; Metazoa; Chordata; Mammalia; Perissodactyla; Equidae.
GAAGCAAGUUAAGUUUGCUUUUCAGAAAGGAGUGGAGGAAAGGACAGAGGCGGCAUAGAGACCAACUGGAAGGUAGAAGUGGGAAUGCAGAUUAAGGAGUUUAUUCCAGAGAGGUCACCUGUAGAAAGUCGUUUACUGUCAGGAGGAGGAUUGGGGAAAUGGAAAGUUUUGAAGGAUUCCUAGAUUUGAACCAAACCAAGCUCUCCCAUGCGGAUCCCACAUGCACUAGAACCCUCUCAAAUAGUGGUGGUUUUUCUCUUGGAGCUCACUAUCUUAGCCUUUGGCGACAGAGUCAGAAUUCUCCUCCAUCCCACUGCUGCCUCCAAACCAUUCCUCUGUCCGGGAGAGAAAUUCACGCUCCACCUGGAGCCAUCUCGGUUGCAUCACCCUCUUCCCGCCCAGCCCUGGCCUGGUGAGGCCCAGGAUGAGCCCAGCCAGGGACAAACCCAAGAACGUCUUCCCCAAGCUGGGCCCAGUCAGGCUGGUGGAAGGGUCCUAUCUAGACAGACGAGGACUGGAAGAGCUGAGGAGGAAAUGCAGACAGCCGUGGGUGCGGAGGGUCAGGCCCAGAGCACCCUGCCUGGAACCCAGGGCCGAGCAAGCACCAGACCAUGUCGUGGCUCCUCAUCGGGACGGCUGGAGCCGCACCGGGGAAGAGGAGGGCUCGACACCAGGUGUGAGGCCUCAGUGAAGCCACAGACUCGGCAGACCCCAUCAAGUGUGCAGGCUGGGGUUCCCCCACAUUCAGAGGGCGGACCCUAGCCUGCAGCUCACCGUGCCCCUCUGCCUCAGGGCCUGCUGUCACACUGGGUGGCCGCAGCGUGCGUGCGUGAGGAUAACCCAUCUCCCACGCCUCCCUACUCAAGCCCCCAAUAUUAAGUGACAGUGCCAGGCACCGAUGGACAUGCCAAGAAAGACAGGGGCCCUGCCCUCAGGCCGGCCACUGCAGGCCCGGGAGGAGCCCACCAGGAAGAUCCCAGGGGAGCGGGCGCCGAGGCCCGGGCGCCGCCCGCCUGCGCGUGCUCAGGUAGCCACGCGGAGCGCGCAGGACGCGCGGGUGUCGGCAGCCCGCCCCGCCCCCCGGGCCACGUGGCAGCAGACGUCAC